UCCCUGGUGGCUCAGACGGUAAAGAAUCUGCCUGCAAAGCAGGACACCCCAGUUCAACCCCUGGGCCGGGAA
This 72-nucleotide transfer RNA is filed under the name Ovis aries (sheep). It matches the Rfam family "tRNA". Rfam says of the family: Transfer RNA (tRNA) molecules are approximately 80 nucleotides in length. Their secondary structure includes four short double-helical elements and three loops (D, anti-codon, and T loops). Further hydrogen bonds mediate the characteristic L-shaped molecular structure. tRNAs have two regions of fundamental functional importance: the anti-codon, which is responsible for specific mRNA codon recognition, and the 3' end, to which the tRNAs corresponding amino acid is attached (by aminoacyl-tRNA synthetases). tRNAs cope with the degeneracy of the genetic code in two manners: having more than one tRNA (with a specific anti-codon) for a particular amino acid; and 'wobble' base-pairing, i.e. permitting non-standard base-pairing at the 3rd anti-codon position. Lineage: Eukaryota; Metazoa; Chordata; Mammalia; Artiodactyla; Bovidae. The record is from Rfam by way of RNAcentral.